UGUAGCCUGAUAUUGAAUUUUGGUACAGCUUGUACAGGAUAGGUAGGAGCCUUGGAAACCGGAGCGCCAGCUUCGGUGGAGGCAUCGGUGGGAUACUACCCUGGCUGUAUUGACCUUCUAACCCGCUGCCCUUAUCGGGCAGGGAGACAGUGUCAGGUGGGCAGUUUGACUGGGGCGGUCGCCUCCUAAAAGGUAACGGAGGCGCCCAAAGGUUCCCUCAGAAUGGUUGGAAAUCAUUCGUAGAGUGUAAAGGCACAAGGGAGCUUGACUGCGAGACCUACAAGUCGAGCAGGGACGAAAGUCGGGCUUAGUGAUCCGGUGGUUCCGCAUGGAAGGGCCAUCGCUCAACGGAUAAAAGCUACCCCGGGGAUAACAGGCUUAUCUCCCCCAAGAGUCCACAUCGACGGGGAGGUUUGGCACCUCGAUGUCGGCUCAUCGCAUCCUGGGGCUGUAGUCGGUCCCAAGGGUUGGGCUGUUCGCCCAUUAAAGCGGUACGCGAGCUGGGUUUAGAACGUCGUGAGACAGUUCGGUCCCUAUCCGUCGCGGGCGCAGGAAAUUUGAGAGGAGCUGUCCUUAGUACGAGAGGACCGGGAUGGACGCACCGCUGGUGUACCAGUUGUUCUGCCAAGGGC
RNAcentral lists this ribosomal RNA (632 nucleotides) under Salmonella enterica subsp. enterica serovar Kentucky. RNAcentral describes it as "partial 23S ribosomal RNA". It matches the Rfam family "Bacterial large subunit ribosomal RNA", at positions 2105 to 2736 of the family's 2925-position model. Lineage: Bacteria; Pseudomonadati; Pseudomonadota; Gammaproteobacteria; Enterobacterales; Enterobacteriaceae. The record is from RNAcentral.